This 373-nucleotide ribosomal RNA is filed under the name uncultured prokaryote. Its description in RNAcentral is "bacterial SSU rRNA". It matches the Rfam family "Bacterial small subunit ribosomal RNA", at positions 524 to 896 of the family's 1533-position model. The record is from RNAcentral.
UACGAAGGGUGCGAGCGUUAAUCGGAAUUACUGGGCGUAAAGCGCGCGUAGGUGGUUUUGUAAGCGAAAUGUGAAAUCCCCGGGCUCAACCUGGGAACUGCAUGUCGAACUGCAAGGCUAGAGUAUAGUAGAGGAGUGUGGAAUUUCCUGUGUAGCGGUGAAAUGCGUAGAUAUAGGAAGGAACAUCAGUGGCGAAGGCGGCACUCUGGACUGAUACUGACACUGAGGCGCGAAAGCGUGGGUAGCGAACAGGAUUAGAUACCCUGGUAGUCCACGCCGUAAACGAUGUCUGCUAGCCGUUGGGGCGCUUGACGCUUCAGUGGCGGAGCUAACGCGAUAAGCAGACCGCCUGGGGAGUACGGCCGCAAGGUUA